Molecule: ribosomal RNA, 200 nt
Filed under: uncultured eukaryote
Lineage: Eukaryota
Description: partial 18S ribosomal RNA
Rfam family: Eukaryotic small subunit ribosomal RNA
Source: RNAcentral
GCUCCAAUAGCGUAUAUUAAAGUUGUUGCAGUUAAAAAGCUCGUAGUUGGAUUUGUGGUGUACGCAGGCGGCCUGUCACAAUGUGUCGGAGCUUGCUUGCGUCGCAUCCUUGGGUGGAUCCUGUGUGGCAUUCAGUUGUCGUGCAGGGGAUGCCAUCGUUUACUGUGAAAAAUUAGAGUGUUCAAAGCAGGCUUAUGCCG